This 1872-nucleotide long non-coding RNA is filed under the name Bos indicus x Bos taurus (hybrid cattle). RNAcentral describes it as "lncRNA (ENSBIXG00000023230.1)". The record is from RNAcentral. Lineage: Eukaryota; Metazoa; Chordata; Mammalia; Artiodactyla; Bovidae.
CCUAGAGAUAUGUAGCCUGCCUCCCCCAUUUAAUAGAAAAGAAAAGAAGUUGUAGAAUUCAGAGAUGAUAGACUACUGCCUUCCAGCCCUGUAAAAAUAGUGACUUCUGGAGUAACACUGAUCACACCAAAGGAGAAAGUGAUCAGUUUAGUUCUGCCCAUAAUUUGUAACUGAUUCUAUCAAGACAUAAUUCACACUUAAUUUUUUUCCACCUCCAAAAUUAGUGCUUGUCCUUAGGUAGAAAAAUUAGCUUGCAGAUGCAGAAAAGAUGCAGAGUUAAAAUUAUACAGUUGCUCUUAGAAGUCCUUCUCUGAGGUGCAAGAUGGUUCUCUCUUCCGUGUUCUUCUAGAAGCACUGUGGCUUCCUUUGAACAUCACCACAAUCUUCUGUGGAGCAACUUGCAGGUCUUUAGGGUCUGAGAACUGAUGCUAGUGAUCACAGGAGGCAGAUGCAGCUGCACAUGGCCAUCAUUAAUGCUGUUUCCUCAUUUUCUUCUUUCCCUCCCCCUAGGCUUAUGGUGGACUUCCUUGGUGGCUCAGCGAUAAAGAAUCUGCCUGCUAAUGUGUGAGACAUGGGUUCAAUCCCUGGGUCAGGAAGAUUCCCUAGAGAAGGAAAUGGCAACCCACUCCAGUAUUCUUGCCUGGAAAGUUCCAUGGACAGGAGCAAGCUACAGUCUAUCGGGUCACAGAGAGAUGGACACGACUUGGCGACUGCACAACACCGACAAGGCAUAUGCACUGGGUUGCGGUGAGAGGGAGAGAAGCACUGGCUGUGAGGAAACCAUAUUCCUGAGUCACCUGUGGCCCGUGUCAGGCACCCCUGCUGCUGCUGCUGGUUGUGGUGUAGAUGGGAGGAUGGCAGGGAACAGCUGAGUGAGUGGAGAGGUGGCGGAUCACACCCUGCUGCUCUCUUAUGGGCUCCCCUCUUACCUUUUCCCACAGAGAAUCAUGUCUUUCUAUUGCAGAUUUUCUUCGUUCUGUCCUCUGUCUCUACUCUGGCGCACUCAGCUCUGGAGAUAACCCAACCCCUUCCAGAGUAACAUUUCUCAUGAUGAUAGCUAUUAAUAAUCAUAAGUCAAUUUUCCCCAUUAUAAUUAGUUACCAUUAUUGUUACUGGUUGUUAUGUAUGAUUACUAUUUAUAUAUUAUAAUUAUGUCCUUAUGCUCUGCAGGAUUUGAAGUUCUUUUCAUGGCCAGUCAGUUUAAUAUGUGGCUCCUACUACUGAAAUUGUUCCUGGAGGAAUCUGCAGGGCACAGACAUUCCUGGGAUUGGCUACGGGGUCCUUGUGAAUGUGUCUGCUCCAAGUGCUGCACAAGCCUUGUGCUUUGUGGCUUGUCCUAGCUCUGUAAUACAAGCAUGAAUUAUGACCAACCUGCAGAGCAGAGCAGGUAGACAGCUAAGUGGAGCUCCGUAUUUCAAACAUGGAUCACUGAGGCCACAAUUUACAGGUAAUAGGUCACGGGUGAUAAGAAGGAAAGGGAUGCCCAGGAGUCCCACUGAAGAAGGGGCGUUUCAUCUGUCUGGGCUCUGAAUGUUGAUUAGUAGAGGCACCUGGGGGAAGGACAUUCCUGACUGAGGUGACAGCUUUCACAAAGUGCAUAGUGUGUUCAGGAAAUGUUGUUUUGUCACUAAGUUGUAUCCAACUCUUUGCAACCCAUGGACUGUAGCCUGCCAGGCUCCUCUGUCCAUGGGAUUCUUCAGGCAAGAAUACUGGAGUGGGUUGCCAUUUCCUUCUCCAGGGAUCUUCCUGACCCAGGGAUUGAACCUGCCUCUCCUGCAUUGGCGGGUGGAUUCUUUACCACGAGCCACCGGGGAAAUCCACUGUUCUGUACGUUCAGGAAAUGGUGAACACUGAAAAGGUCCAUAGACUGCA